RNAcentral lists this ribosomal RNA (361 nucleotides) under Cylindrospermopsis raciborskii C04. RNAcentral's name for it is "bacterial SSU rRNA". It matches the Rfam family "Bacterial small subunit ribosomal RNA", at positions 818 to 1179 of the family's 1533-position model. The record is from RNAcentral. Lineage: Bacteria; Bacillati; Cyanobacteriota; Cyanophyceae; Nostocales; Aphanizomenonaceae.
AGGCGUGGCUUGUAUCGACCCGAGCCGUGCCGGAGCUAACGCGUUAAGUAUCCCGCCUGGGGAGUACGCACGCAAGUGUGAAACUCAAAGGAAUUGACGGGGGCCCGCACAAGCGGUGGAGUAUGUGGUUUAAUUCGAUGCAACGCGAAGAACCUUACCAAGACUUGACAUCCUGCGAAUCCCGGUGAAAGCUGGGAGUGCCUUAGGGAGCGCAGAGACAGGUGGUGCAUGGCUGUCGUCAGCUCGUGUCGUGAGAUGUUGGGUUAAGUCCCGCAACGAGCGCAACCCUCGUUUUUAGUUGCCAGCAUUAAGUUGGGCACUCUAGAGAGACUGCCGGUGACAAACCGGAGGAAGGUGAGGA